Non-coding RNA from Heterocephalus glaber (naked mole-rat), 4317 nucleotides. The record is from RefSeq and is a predicted model, not a curated record. NCBI's taxonomy places the organism in Eukaryota, Metazoa, Chordata, Mammalia, Rodentia, Bathyergidae.
ACCACUGAGCUAAAUCCCUGGCCCACGAAUUUCGUCUCUUAUACCCCACAUGAAGUAGGUGCUUCACCACUCCCAUUUCUCAGAGGCGAAGACCGAGGCUUAGGCAGCCCAAGAUCACACAGCUAGCACACGGUAGAGUUCGGUCACCAACCCGGAAAGCCUACGCCUUCACCAGAGCCCUCCAGCCAGGAGCGAUUCCCUUAGCCCCCUCUGACACACACGCCCAAGUCAGGUCCAAAUCCAGAUAAAAUCUCACUGUGCGCUUGCAAGUGGAAGAGGGUAACUUCUGAGACGUUGUUCCAGCGGCUGUCCUCUUCUCCCCUAAAGAGGCUAAAGCGCUCACGCUCCCAAACACAGUGCAUGGCCCCACCUGUGAAAGCGCCGGCCUGUUGGUUCAUAGGUGGAUUCAGACGGAGUCCUGUCCUAAUAACAAGCGUGACCUCUCUGGAUGAGACAGAGAAGCUCUGGAGCUCAUCUUGUGUGCCUUGCAGUGUUCUGACUGCAUCGUCCCCUGCAGAGGAGCGCAGCCCACACGCCUCUGUCCUGCGUCACCCUGGUGGGGACGUCAUAUUUGCCACCCUGCGGGUGCACACGUGGAUAUUCACACAGUGCUCAGUGCCGGCGGGACACCCGCGCCUUUUCUGGUCACCUCGUCACACCAACUGGCUGGUGGCAUGAGCAGAUGGGGAAGGGCGGAGACACCACUCCUCCGGCAAAGGAGGGACCCUGCUGGGCGUAGAGAGAAGCCAGCUCAUUUUGGGCUGACAGAACCUGUGGUGUGUGAGAGCUCAGCUGAGGCCCGCUCCUCCUUCCACCUGUCCUAGUGGCCACACCUACCUGGGCAAUUAGCACGGCACAGUCUACCUGCAUACCAAGGGAGAGGUCGCAGAGGAGCGGACCGGAAGAGGCUGCCCUUUACACCGGAAACUGCUUCAGAGCUGGUGAACUGCCUGGCCUGUGUUUUGUUCGAUCUGAACCGUGUAUUUUAAGAAUCUGCAGCUAUCUCCAAUAUGAUAAAUAUCAAGAAAUUUCACAUACUACAUUUGUAGUGUGUUCUGAAAAAAAAUUGUGAGAUCGCGCAUACGGCAGAUUUGGAAAGCCACAUGGAACAUCAAGGAAGAAAAGCACAGCAGGGGGAAAACCCAGCAGGGAGCUUGAUCCACUGUCACCGCAGUGCUCCAGGAGGACGCUGGGACUUUGGAUUCAGAGAUGGAGUUGAGAACCCAGAAAGCCUGCAGUUUGUCAGCAACCCCUUAAAUUACAACCCUAAGCCUGAUCUGUCCUGCUGCCUGCUUUGAUGAAGGUAAAUUUGGUAAAUUUGGAAAUGAUUGAAUAACAACAAAAGCAAGAGAAGAAGAAUAUGUCACAGCACGUGAAAAUGAUACAGAGUCAAAUUUCAGUGUCCAGAGAUCAAGCUGUGCAGGAACACAGUAUGAUCACAAGAUGAUUUGGGCUGUGUUAGGCUUCAGCUCUGCCUGGUGGCUCCCGAGCAACUGGGCCAAUGUGCAAGCGAAUGGGCGAGAUUAUGUUCUACGAAGACCUUUCUUCUGGCUUCAGUUUGCCAGACCCACCAUAAACAAAUGCCCAUAGAUGUAUGGCUCACCUCAUCAGCUACUGACUGUCUGGGGAGAGAGAAUAAAUGCAGGAGAUCACGGACAGGAAGAAGCAUGCAAAAACAGGCAGCUGCUGCCUCUGCUUGUUUCCUCGAGAUUCCAUGUCCCGGGCUUAGUCAAUGGGAAUUUGUAGGCAUGUGCCAAUCCAUAAGCCAUUUGCAAAGUGAUAACUGCAUCCACUGGGCUUUUCCUGGGAGAGGGCAGGGGAUGUUUUCACGAGAAAUCCUGUGUUGAGCCAUGUGGGGUAGAAAGGAGGAGGUGAAACCCCAGAGGGCUAGCUGGCCCCUGAGUGGUCUUUUCAAUGAAAGUCUGGGUUUUGCUGAGUGUGGGGAAGGGCUUGGUGGGAAGGACCUGGGCCAAGCUGAAUUGCUCUGCUUGGAAGAGGAAAGCAGGAUUGGACAUUGUGGAAGAAGAAAGGAAUUCAUGAAGAAAGCUGGGAGCCAUGUGCAAAAGGGGGGGGGGGUCUCUAGGAAUUUUCUAGGGAAAUGCAUGAGAGGUUUAUCCACUGUGGCCAUGGGAGUGUGAUGAUGGCCCUCCAAGAUGCCCUCUUCACUGGCUGCACUGUCUAGAACCAUCCAUCACUUCCCACUUUGUUCUGCUGUCUUCUCCUCUUGCCCCUCAUCAUUAGCUGUCAUCCUCUUAUUCAUCCUAUGGUUCACUAGUUUAUGGUCUGUUCUGUUCCCCUAGAAGGUUGGCAUGUUGGCCAAAAUGACCUUGACCAUGUAACUCAUCACCAAGGCCUAAAAUGAUGCCUAACGUUAUAUAUACUCACAGGAACUUUGAAUAUUUGCCAAAUGAAAGAUCGAUUUGACCUAAAUACAUAGAACUUGACAACAAAGAAGUUGCUUUUCUACCGGUCUUGUAGUACUUGGUUUCUCAAAUAAUACAUGUUUGUUGCUGUAGUUCUGCCGUAAUUCUGAGAGAUGCUCACAGAACAGCACAUGCCUGCCUGCAGAUUUUUUUCACAUUCUUAGAUGUUACUAGAAGUCUUCAUGAGGUUCAAAUUUAAAGUAGGACACAGCUAAAAUUCAUUGUGGGAAAGGGUGUGGAAGACCAGAGGUGGCCAGAUCAUUACCUUUGGGUUCACAGAUUUUGCAGAAUUAUCACGAGAGUAAGUUGUCUUCUAAACAAAAUCAAUCCCUCUGCAAUCCUGCCUGCCAUCUACGAUCUGUUUCCAAAGUGAAAUCAAAGUCAAUAGCUGUUUUGUAGGUGGAAUGAUUACAGAUUCCAACCCCUGGUUGAAUGAACAUGUAAAGGGAAGUCUUGGACCUGGGUAAUUAUAGGAUAUUUCCUUAAUACACCUUAUCUGAUCCUUUUCCGCUAAUAAUUGUAUGUAAUUAUAUUUAUGUGUGAGAACAUUGAAUAUUAAUGGAGUCUAGGGCCCUGAGGAUUUAAAGAGCUUAUGAAGUAUUUGACUGGAUACGACCAAUCAUUACAUGUCAGGCGAAGAACAUGGAGAAAAAGGAAUUUGUCAAAAAGAAACCAGAGACUAGAAGAAACCCAACACUUUCAUUAAUUGAUAAUAUUUUUAUUAGGUUGUUACUUUCAAGUGUCUUUUAGUACUUGCACUUGAAUUUAAAUGUCUGAAAGGAAUGGGUAUUCAGGAAAAGAAAAGUAAUUACACCCUGUAAUUCUGAUUUAAUUACGAGGAAAUAGAUGUAACAUGAUGUGAUAAAAGUUAUGAUAGGCUCUUUAAGUGAUAUAUGUCAUUAACAUGUUAAUUGGCAUGAAAUCUGAACUCGCAGCCAGAGAAAUCUUAGGUGAAUAUGAGGUCAUCUCUAUUACAGGCAGUCUUAAAAUGAAAAUGCCAUUAAAAGCAUUUUAAGUUUUAUUCUGCGAUGUACUUUUUCUCAUUUAUGUUCAAUACAAUGAAAAUCCGGUCCUGCCCUUAAGAAGAAGAAGAGGAGGAAGAGGAGGAGGACAAGGAGGAGGAGGAGGACAAGGAGGAGGAGGAGAAGAAGGAAGAAGAAGGAGAAGAAAUAGAAGAAGAAAUAGAAGAAGAAGAAGAAGAAGAAGAAGAAGAAGAAGAAGAAGAAGAAGAAGAAGAAGAAGAAGAAGAAGAAGAAGAAGAAGAAGAAAAAGGCUAUUCCUACGGGGUUGGUGUGGCUAGCUUGAACUUGUAAUUGAAUACACACCAAGUCAGGGCGAGAUUAAAUGAGGAAAUGGAUUUUCUUCUGCAUGAAGGGACCGGGUCAUGUUCUAAAAAUCUGGCUCUUUCAACAUCUUCACAUAAUGAUGAAAUGAAAUGUGUAAAGAUUUUGAUUAUUAAAAAGCCUGCUUUUUCCUCAAAGACUCAUCCCAGGACCUGUUUAUUUUUAUUUCUUUGUAACUUUUUGGCUCGUGGCUGUGGUUAGCAUAAAAGAAGUAUUUGUUCUGCAGAAGGAAGUAGCCAGACCAGACUGGGGCUGCUGUUGCAGGGAGGGAGUAGGGUCCUCGCUGGGACCCCAGAGCCAGAAAUAGUUAAGUGGGAAUGCGAGGCUGGUCUGGUGGCUCUGUUAUUGAUAUGCUUUGGUAUUAAAAAUAGCUGGCACAUUAGCCCAUUUCACAGCUGCCAGGCAGGGACAUGCUGCUGUGAGAGCAGCCAAGUUGACCCUCGAUUCGCCCCGUGAUGGCCCCCCACACUGACGCAGGCUGGCACUGUGGCCAGCAGAGCUGUGUGUGACAGGAAGAUGAAACGGCCCCGCCUACACGGUUCCCUCACAGA